UUUUGCGGUAAAAUGGCUGAGGUAUAGGCAAUAAAUUGUAAAUUUAUAAACGAAUUUAAAUUCUUUUACCA
RNAcentral lists this transfer RNA (71 nucleotides) under Archichauliodes deceptor. Its description in RNAcentral is "tRNA-Tyr". It matches the Rfam family "tRNA". Rfam says of the family: Transfer RNA (tRNA) molecules are approximately 80 nucleotides in length. Their secondary structure includes four short double-helical elements and three loops (D, anti-codon, and T loops). Further hydrogen bonds mediate the characteristic L-shaped molecular structure. tRNAs have two regions of fundamental functional importance: the anti-codon, which is responsible for specific mRNA codon recognition, and the 3' end, to which the tRNAs corresponding amino acid is attached (by aminoacyl-tRNA synthetases). tRNAs cope with the degeneracy of the genetic code in two manners: having more than one tRNA (with a specific anti-codon) for a particular amino acid; and 'wobble' base-pairing, i.e. permitting non-standard base-pairing at the 3rd anti-codon position. The record is from RNAcentral. Lineage: Eukaryota; Metazoa; Arthropoda; Insecta; Megaloptera; Corydalidae.